AGUCGAACGGCAGCACGGGAGCAAUCCUGGUGGCGAGUGGCGAACGGGUGAGUAAUACAUCGGAACGUGCCCAGUAGUGGGGGAUAACCCGGCGAAAGCCGGACUAAUACCGCAUACGACCUACGGGUGAAAGCAGGGGAUCGCAAGACCUUGCGCUAUCGGAGCGGCCGAUGUCAGAUUAGCUUGUUGGCGGGGUAAAAGCCCACCAAGGCGACGAUCUGUAGCUGGUCUGAGAGGACGACCAGCCACACUGGGACUGAGACACGGCCCAGACUCCUACGGGAGGCAGCAGUGGGGAAUUUUGGACAAUGGGCGCAAGCCUGAUCCAGCCAUGCCGCGUGCGGGAAGAAGGCCUUCGGGUUGUAAACCGCUUUUGUCAGGGAAGAAAAGCUCCGGGUUAAUACCUCGGAGUCAUGACGGUACCUGAAGAAUAAGCACCGGCUAACUACGUGCCAGCAGCCGCGGUAAUACGUAGGGUGCAAGCGUUAAUCGGAAUUACUGGGCGUAAAGCGUGCGCAGGCGGCUUUGCAAGACAGAUGUGAAAUCCCCGGGCUUAACCUGGGAACUGCAUUUGUGACUGCAUGGCUGGAGUGCGGCAGAGGGGGAUGGAAUUCCGCGUGUAGCAGUGAAAUG
RNAcentral lists this ribosomal RNA (633 nucleotides) under uncultured bacterium. RNAcentral describes it as "bacterial SSU rRNA". It matches the Rfam family "Bacterial small subunit ribosomal RNA", at positions 60 to 688 of the family's 1533-position model. The record is from RNAcentral.